AUGAUUUCUUACAUAACUGAAGGGAACUAAAGGAGAAAGAGGAAAAGGAUAAUCUUGGCAGAACUUUACUUUUAAUAGGUUCUUAUUGGAAUGGCAUACCUUAUUUCAUAGAGAUCACCUCGUUCUUCAACUAGUUUUAGUGAUGAUGAGCACAAAUACACACUUAGGAAGUAGUUGUUGAAAGCAUGCUAUGAUUAACUACGUUUAACAAAAAGAAACUUUCAUGAUUGGUGCACCAUGGUGAUGCUAUCUUGUGCAUGCUUGGAGACGUGAAAGGUUCUUUCCAAGAUGCUAUGAAAUCACUUGAGCCUCUAGAACUACCCAAGGUUACUCCUCCUCUUGAAAUCCUUGGUGCCCUUGAAAAGAUCCCAGACCUGGCUCGUUCAGACAUGUUGCGAGCAUAUGGUAAACUCAUCCCUAGUGAACGCUUAUUUCAAGCGCUUAUGGAGUUGCCCAUGGAGUUUAGGAAGGAAUGGUUGUUGAUGCUCAAUAAGAAGAACAAUGUUUAA
This 509-nucleotide ribosomal RNA is filed under the name Triticum aestivum (bread wheat). RNAcentral describes it as "partial small subunit ribosomal RNA". Lineage: Eukaryota; Viridiplantae; Streptophyta; Magnoliopsida; Poales; Poaceae. The record is from RNAcentral.